UGGGGAAUUUUGGACAAUGGGCGAAAGCCUGAUCCAGCAAUGCCGCGUGUGUGAAGAAGGCCUUCGGGUUGUAAAGCACUUUUGUCCGGAAAGAAAUCCUUGGCUCUAAUACAGUCGGGGGAUGACGGUACCGGAAGAAUAAGCACCGGCUAACUACGUGCCAGCAGCCGCGGUAAUACGUAGGGUGCAAGCGUUAAUCGGAAUUACUGGGCGUAAAGCGUGCGCAGGCGGUUUGCUAAGACCGAUGUGAAAUCCCCGGGCUCAACCUGGGAACUGCAUUGGUGACUGGCAGGCUAGAGUAUGGCAGAGGGGGGUAGAAUUCCACGUGUAGCAGUGAAAUGCGUAGAGAUGUGGAGGAAUACCGAUGGCGAAGGCAGCCCCCUGGGCCAAAUACUGACGCUCAUGCACGAAAGCGUGGGGAGCAAACAGGAUU
This 433-nucleotide ribosomal RNA is filed under the name uncultured bacterium. RNAcentral's name for it is "partial 16S ribosomal RNA". It matches the Rfam family "Bacterial small subunit ribosomal RNA", at positions 355 to 779 of the family's 1533-position model. The record is from RNAcentral.